Long non-coding RNA from Aedes aegypti (yellow fever mosquito), 1794 nucleotides. RefSeq lists it as uncharacterized. The transcript is spliced from 2 exons. The record is from RefSeq and is a predicted model, not a curated record. NCBI's taxonomy places the organism in Eukaryota, Metazoa, Arthropoda, Insecta, Diptera, Culicidae.
CGGUGAAGUGUCAAACAAAGAAAAAUUUUUAAUCGCAUGUUCUUUAUACAAUAACAGCAUCCAUACAGCUACCAACAUGAAACCACGUGAAAUUUUAUAUGCAGCCAAAAAUGGACAGGAGAGACCGAUAGAAAUGGAACGCCUUGUUGAACUUCGUGACAAGUUGAAGCGAGAGGAUCCGCCAAAACUAAAACAAAACGAAUUGGCAUACAACCGCAUCCAAGGAGUGAAGUCGAAAAUUAAGGACCGCUACCAACAAGUGCGAGUACGAUCUAACCGGAAACACACGUACAAAGAUAUCCUAAGUCGAAAAUUACAUAAAGAAAAACUGCGACGAAUCCGAAAGUAACACCACAGAAUCUCUAAUGUGUUUUUUCAUUUGUUUUCUCUUUUUAGAUGACGUUUAUUUGGAAUAUCCUGAUAACAACCACAUUCCUUACUCAGCUAUCCCAACCACAAUCCAUCCACGUCGUUAAUCUCAAACAAAACCCCGGUCUUUUAACCAUAGAAACUGGCAACAGUUUUAUAAAAAUAGGCAACCACAGUUUCAUAUCCUAGAACUGGAUAAUUACGAACCUAUUUUUAGAAAAUUGCUUGCUAAUAUCCAAGGAAUACGGACAUUCUCAAAUUUUACUGAUAUGUUUGAAAUCUUAGAAUCGAAAUAUGGAACCGUUCACAGUUUAUUCAAUAAUCUUCGGCCAAAGCAAAGAAAUAAAAGAGGAUUAUUUAAUUUUCUCGGAACUGGAAUAAAAAGAAUUACAGGAAAUAUGGACCAUAACGACUAUGAACAAAUUUCGAAAAAUAUUUUUGAACUGCAGAUCAAGAACAAAAGACUUAUUAACGAAAACAACGAACAGCUUAAAAUUAAUCUACAACUCCAAAAUAGAAUCAAUUCCAUUAUCAACCGUUUAAAUCAACAACAGAGUGAAAUAACUAAAAACAUUAUAUCAGCUAGAUUUGAAAACGAAACCAACAAAAACUUUAAAUUAUUUAGAGAAAUUUUGAAAAUCAAUUACAACUUAGACAACCUUAAAUCACAUUUAGAAGACAUUUUUGAAUCAAUUCAGUUAGCAAGAACUAACAUUAUUCCCAAACAAAUACUUUCAAUUGAAGAGUUAGGAUUUGUUUCAGAUAUAUUAGAAGAACAAAAUAUUAGGACGAACAGUUCAGAUCAAAUUUAUGAAUAUUUAGAAUUGUCAGCAUUUUAUAACCAUUCAAAACUAAUAUUUGUUGUGUCAAUUCCAAAAAUAGAAAAAGCUAUGUACACACAUUUUUUCCUAGAACCUCUUCCAGUAGUAGAUAAAAUUUUAAAACUUCCUGCUAAUGCUGCUUUGCAAAGCGACAACAGAACAUAUUUCAUCAAGAAGGAUUGCCUGCGAAUCGAAAGGACAAGGCUGUGCAAUCUAAACAGCCUAGAGGACAUAACCGGCGACCUAUGCUACUCAAACCUACUAUGAGGACUAUCAGGAAACUGUACUUUCGUAAAAUGCUAUCAAUCAACGGAGAUCAAAGCGAUCAUGGACAAUUACCUUGUCGCUAAAAACAUCAAUAACACAGAAAUCGAAUCGAAUUGUGGUCUUUCAAAACGAAACUUAUCUGGAACGUAUUUGAUAGAGUUCCACAAUUGCUCUGUCAUAAUAAAUGGCACCAAGUUCUCAAAUGUCGAAGCAAACAAAUCAGAACCGACAUUUGUUAUGCCAUUAGAUGGUUUACAUAUCAAUGAACAGACCCUGGAAAUCCAGAAUAAUAUGGAAGAAAUUCACAUCCAUAAUAGACAUCGGAUUGAAGCAUUAA